This 468-nucleotide ribosomal RNA is filed under the name uncultured organism. RNAcentral describes it as "bacterial SSU rRNA". It matches the Rfam family "Bacterial small subunit ribosomal RNA", at positions 29 to 507 of the family's 1533-position model. The record is from RNAcentral.
AGCGAACGCUAGCGGGAUGCCUCAAACAUGCAAGUCGUACGCGAAAGUGACUUCGGUCAUUAGUAGAGUGGCGCACGGGUGCGUAACACGUAACUAACGUACCUCAUCGCUGGGGAUAACUCCGGGAAACCGGAGCUAAUACCGAAUAUCUGUCAGAGUCUGCGGACUUUGCCGGGAAAGCCGUAAGGCGCGGUGAGAUCGGGUUGCGGCAGAUUAGUUUGUUGGUGGGGUAACGGCCUACCAAGACUACGAUCUGUAGCUGGUCUGAGAGGAUGAUCAGCCACACUGGAACUGGAACACGGUCCAGACUCCCACGGGAGGCAGCAGUUGGGAAUAUUGGACAAUGGGAGAAAUCCUGAUCCAGCAAUCCCGCGUGAGUGAUGAAGGCCUUCGGGUCGUAAAGCUCUUUUAGUAGGGACGAAGGGAAACUUGACGGUACCUACAGAAAAAGCACCGGCUAACUCUGUG